AGAUAAUGAGCUUGAAAUAAGUGUAUAUUUUGAAAAUAUAAGAUAGAAUUGUAAUUCUAUUAUCUU
Molecule: transfer RNA, 66 nt
Filed under: Dinocampus coccinellae
Lineage: Eukaryota; Metazoa; Arthropoda; Insecta; Hymenoptera; Braconidae
Description: tRNA-Ser
Source: RNAcentral